GGAGUAAAAGUCGUAACAAGGUUUCCGUAGGUGAACCUGCGGAAGGAUCAUUAUUGUAUAACCGAGGUGCGAGGGCUGUCGCUGACCCGAAAGGUCGUGCACGCCCGAGUGCCCUCACACACAUCCAUCUCACCCCUAUGUGCACCACCGCGUGGGUCCCCCCUUGGCUUGUUCGGAGGGGGGCUUACGUUUUCACACGAACUUUGUAUGCAGUGUAGAAUGUAUUUUUUGUUUUUGCGAUCACGCAAUCAAUACAACUUUCAACAACGGAUCUCUUGGCUCUC
Molecule: unclassified non-coding RNA, 284 nt
Filed under: plant metagenome
Description: partial contains small subunit ribosomal RNA, internal transcribed spacer 1, and 5.8S ribosomal RNA
Rfam family: Eukaryotic small subunit ribosomal RNA (bases 1-53)
Source: RNAcentral